Molecule: ribosomal RNA, 499 nt
Filed under: soil bacterium RFS-I25
Lineage: Bacteria
Description: bacterial SSU rRNA
Rfam family: Bacterial small subunit ribosomal RNA
Source: RNAcentral
AGAGUUUGAUCCUGGCUCAGGACGAACGCUGGCGGCGUGCUUAACACAUGCAAGUCGAGCGGUAAGGCCCUUCGGGGUACACGAGCGGCGAACGGGUGAGUAACACGUGGGUGAUCUGCCCUGCACUUCGGGAUAAGCCUGGGAAACUGGGUCUAAUACCGGAUAUGACCUUCGGCUGCAUGGCUGAGGGUGGAAAGGUUUACUGGUGCAGGAUGGGCCCGCGGCCUAUCAGCUUGUUGGUGGGGUAAUGGCCUACCAAGGCGACGACGGGUAGCCGACCUGAGAGGGUGACCGGCCACACUGGGACUGAGACACGGCCCAGACUCCUACGGGAGGCAGCAGUGGGGAAUAUUGCACAAUGGGCGAAAGCCUGAUGCAGCGACGCCGCGUGAGGGAUGACGGCCUUCGGGUUGUAAACCUCUUUCAGCAGGGACGAAGCGAAAGUGACGGUACCUGCAGAAGAAGCACCGGCCAACUACGUGCCAGCAGCCGCGGUAAU